CUCUUUAAACCCGAUGGCAGAACGGGUUGUAUAGAAGGUAAAUACGUCGAAGAUGAAACAUCUGCUGGCUGAAGGAACCGAGCGUGAUAGAGCUCCCAUUGACAAACGUGUGAUGAUCGACGGAGAUGAGUUCGAGGUGGUGAAUGAAUUUGUCUACCUCGGAUCAUUGGUCGGAUAACAACUGCAGCAGAGAAAUUGGGAGACGUUUGACCAUGUCCGCAAAUGGCGCGUAUGGUCUCGCACCGACUACAGAUCUUUCAAAUACCUGCCCUAUUCACUAUUGAUGGUAGUAGAGAACACUACCAUGGUUGCAACGGGUAACGGGGAAUCAGGGUUUGAUUCCGGAGAGAGAGCCUGAGAAAUAGCACAUCCAAGCAAGGCAGCAGGCGCGUAAAUUACCCAAUCCCGGCACGGAGAGGUAGUGACGAGAAAUAACAAUAUAAGGCUCUUUUAUGACGUCUUAUAAUUGGAAUGAGUUGAGCAUAAAUCCUUCAACAAGGAUCAAUAGGAAAGCAGGUCUGGUGCCAGCAGCCGCGGUAAUUCCAACUCAACUAGCAUAUUAAAAUUGUUGUGGUUAUAACGUUCGAAGUUUAUUCUUGUCCAACACGGGUGCUACUCCUAAUGAUGGCGGUAGGUCACUGAAUUGUUGCGACUACAUAUAAGACUGGGUGAGCUCGUCGGUCCUCGCGGCCGGCGCGGUCGUAGUGUGGCGCUGAUGCUUUUUAUCGGGUGCAGUAUUUUCCACAAGCCCAGCUGCUAUUACUUUGAACAAAUUAGAGUGCUGUAAGCAGGCUAUCCUACGGCCGAAAAUAAUCUUGCAUGAAAUAAUGGAAUAUGACCUCGGUCAUUGGUUUGUAAUCAGAUCAAGAGGUGAUGAUUAACAGAAGUAGUUGAGGGCAUUAGUAUUACCUCGCGAGAGGUGAAAUUCGUAGACUGUCGUAAGACUUACUAAAACUAAAGCAUUUGCCAUGGAUGCUUUCAUUAAUCAAGAACGAAAGUUAGAGGAUCGAAGGCGAUUAGAUACCGCCCUAGUUCUAACCGUAAACUAUGCCGAUUAACAAUUGAGAGACGCGGCAUUAUGGUGCUCUCAGUAGCUUCCGGGAAACCAAAAUUAGGUUCCG
Molecule: non-coding RNA, 1121 nt
Organism: Aedes aegypti (yellow fever mosquito)
Lineage: Eukaryota; Metazoa; Arthropoda; Insecta; Diptera; Culicidae
Source: Rfam